RNAcentral lists this ribosomal RNA (435 nucleotides) under uncultured bacterium. RNAcentral describes it as "partial 16S ribosomal RNA". It matches the Rfam family "Bacterial small subunit ribosomal RNA", at positions 30 to 507 of the family's 1533-position model. The record is from RNAcentral.
AGCGAACGCUGGCGGCAGGCUUAACACAUGCAAGUCGAGCGGGCACUUUCGGGUGUCAGCGGCUGACGGGUGAGUAACGCGUGGGAACGUGCCCUCUGGUUCGGAAUAACUCAGGGAAACUUGAGCUAAUACCGGAUACGCCCUUUUGGGGAAAGGCUUUCUGCCGGAGGAUCGGCCCUCGUCUGAUUAGCUAGUUGGUUAGGUAACAGCUCACCAAGGCGACGAUGAGUACCUGGUCUGAGAGGAGGCUCCGCCACACUGGGGCUGAGACACGGACCAGAACGGGAGGGAGGGGAGGAGUAGAGAACAUAGGAGGAGGAGGGCAAGUGUAACAACGCCAUGCCGGGUGAGAGAGGCAGGGGUUAGGAUUGUAAAGCUCCUUGAGCCGGGGCGAGAAUGACGGUACUGGAGGAAUAAGCCCCGGCUAACUACGUG